GACGAACCGUGCGAACGUUAUUCGGAAUCACUGGGCUUAAAGGGUGCGUAGGCGGGUUGCCAAGUCUGUGGUGAAAUCCUCCGGCUCAACCGGAGAACUGCCGUGGAUACUGGCGAUCUUGAGGGGUGUAGGGGCUUGCGGAACUGUGCGUGGAGCGGUGAAAUGCGUUGAUAUGCACAGGAACUCCGGUGGCGAAAGCGGCGAGCUGGACACCUUCUGACGCUGAGGCACGAAAGCUAGGGGAGCGAACGGG
RNAcentral lists this ribosomal RNA (253 nucleotides) under uncultured bacterium. RNAcentral's name for it is "partial 16S ribosomal RNA". It matches the Rfam family "Bacterial small subunit ribosomal RNA", at positions 524 to 776 of the family's 1533-position model. The record is from RNAcentral.